GAGAUCGUGAGGAGCGAUGGCUGGCACUGCCCAGAUGUAGGAGGAUGACAAUUACGUAGAUACUCGGGAGGAUGACCGGUGGCGCAUGCAGCCCAUCAUGGAUCUGGUGCUGACGCUGAGGCGCGAAAGCGUGGGGAGCAAACACGAUUAGAUACCCUUGUAGUCACGCAGUAAACGAUGAGUGCUAGAUGUCGGGGGUUCACCCUCCGGUGUCGCAGCUAACGCUUUAAGCACUCCGCAUGGGGAGUACGGUCGCAAGAUUAAAACUCAAAGGAAUUGACGGGGGCCCGCACAAGCGGUGGAGCAUGUGGUUUAAUUCGAAGCAACGCGAAGAACCUUACCAGCCCUUGACUUGGGGAGUGUGGGUCGCAGAGACGUGACCCUUCAGUUCGGCUGGCUCCCACACAGGUGCUGCAUGGCUGCCGUCAGCUCGUGUCGUGAGAUGUUGGGUUAAGUCCCGCAACGAGCGCAACCCUCAUCUUCAGUUGCCAUCAUUAAGUUGGGCACUCUGAAGAAACUGCCGGUGACAAGCCGGAGGAAGGCGGGGAUGACGUCAAGUCCUCAUGGCCCUUACGGGCUGGGCUACACACGUGCUACAAUGGCGGUGACAGUGGGAUGCAAGGGGGCGACCCUGCGCCAGUCUCAAAAAGCCGUCUCAGUUCGGAUUGCACUCUGCAACUUGAGUGCAUGAAGUCGGAAUCGCUAGUAAUCGUGGAUCAGCACGCCACGGUGAAUACGUUCCCGGGCCUUGUACACACCGCCCGUCACACCAUGGGAGUUGGUUUUACCCGAAGCCGGUGCGCUAACCGCAAGGAGGCAGCCGACCACGGUAGGGUCAGCGACUGGGGUGAAGUCGUAACAAGGUAACCA
Molecule: ribosomal RNA, 870 nt
Filed under: uncultured soil bacterium
Lineage: Bacteria
Description: SSU rRNA
Rfam family: Bacterial small subunit ribosomal RNA
Source: RNAcentral